RNAcentral lists this long non-coding RNA (239 nucleotides) under Musa acuminata (dwarf banana). RNAcentral describes it as "long non-coding RNA (MACU_LNC010534)". Lineage: Eukaryota; Viridiplantae; Streptophyta; Magnoliopsida; Zingiberales; Musaceae. The record is from RNAcentral.
UCUCUUCCAUGGGAUCCAAUAAUUCAUGGGCUUAUUGGAUAUCCAAUAAGACAAGGGCUCCGUCGGAUAUUUCAUAUCCGAACCUCUACUCAUCGUAAUGCCUACCAUAUGUGUGUGACCCUCUAGGCCCAAUAUCGAGUUGGCCAUGAGUCAUACAUGUCAGAACUCCUUCUAACUCGGUGAAUUAUUAUCUCUGUGAUAAUUCACUCGACUCAUCGACUACGGACGUACUAGGCCAC